Molecule: ribosomal RNA, 497 nt
Filed under: uncultured bacterium
Lineage: Bacteria
Description: partial 16S ribosomal RNA
Rfam family: Bacterial small subunit ribosomal RNA
Source: RNAcentral
GAUGAACGCUGGCGGCGUGCCUAAUACAUGCAAGUCGAGCGAACGGACGAGAAGCUUGCUUCUCUGAUGUUAGCGGCGGACGGGUGAGUAACACGUGGAUAACCUACCUAUAAGACUGGGAUAACUUCGGGAAACCGUAGCUAAUACCGGAUAAUAUUUUGAACCGCAUGGUUCAAAAGUGAAAGACGGUCUUGCUGUCACUUAUAGAUGGAUCCGCGCUGCAUUAGCUAGUUGGUAAGGUAACGGCUUACCAAGGCAACGAUGCAUAGCCGACCUGAGAGGGUGAUCGGCCACACUGGAACUGAGACACGGUCCAGACUCCUACGGGAGGCAGCAGUAGGGAAUCUUCCGCAAUGGGCGAAAGCCUGACGGAGCAACGCCGCGUGAGUGAUGAAGGUCUUCGGAUCGUAAAACUCUGUUAUUAGGGAAGAACAUAUGUGUAAGUAACUGUGCACAUCUUGACGGUACCUAAUCAGAAAGCCACGGCUAACUACGUG